GACACGCUGGCGGCGUGCUUAAUACAUGCAAGUCGAGCGAGGCCUUGGAAUUGGAGUCCUUCGGGAUGAAGAGUCCUUGGCCUAGCGGCGGACGGGUGAGUAACGCGUGGGCAACCUACCCCAAAGUCCGGGAUAACAGUGGGAAACCGCUGCUAAUACCGGAUGGCUUUACCUGAGGGCAUCCUUGGGUAAAGAAAGGUUACGCUUUGGGAUGGGCCCGCGUCCCAUUAGCUAGUUGGUGAGGUAACGGCUCACCAAGGCCACGAUGGGUAGCCGGCCUGAGAGGGUGAACGGCCACACUGGGACUGAGACACGGCCCAGACUCCUACGGGAGGCAGCAGUAGGGAAUAUUGCGCAAUGGGCGGAAGCCUGACGCAGCGACGCCGCGUGAGCGAAGAAGGCCUUCGGGUCGUAAAGCUCUGUCCUUGGGGAAGAAGGCGAAAGCUUGACGGUACCCAAGAAGAAAGCCCCGGCUAACUACGUG
Molecule: ribosomal RNA, 484 nt
Filed under: uncultured bacterium
Lineage: Bacteria
Description: bacterial SSU rRNA
Rfam family: Bacterial small subunit ribosomal RNA
Source: RNAcentral